GUAUAGUCAUCCGAGAGGAGGGAACUUCAAUUGAGAAAAUGCCUCCAUAAGAUCAUGAUGAGUUCAAACACAUGAGGUUCAUUCUGCUGAGGGAAGUGAUCUGACGACUCUUCCAACCUUGGAAGAGUGGAGCCGGCAUUUCAGAAGGCAAGAGUUCUCCAGAAGCUACGAGAUGUGAUAUUGCAGCAGAUUUACUACAGCAAGGGAGCAGACUCCAGCUGUGUGAGGCCAAGCCCACGAGGAAGCAGAUUUGCCAAAUGCAGAAUGAUGGCGCUCUCCUUACCAGGUUUUGGUUUUGUUUGGAGACCUUAGUUAUUUAUCAUGAAGUUUGACAUUAUUUUUAAAUUAAUGCUUUCCAAGUUUUCA
Molecule: non-coding RNA, 366 nt
Organism: Peromyscus maniculatus bairdii (prairie deer mouse)
Lineage: Eukaryota; Metazoa; Chordata; Mammalia; Rodentia; Cricetidae
Source: RefSeq, a predicted model, not a curated record